RNAcentral lists this long non-coding RNA (1096 nucleotides) under Helianthus annuus (common sunflower). The record is from RNAcentral. Lineage: Eukaryota; Viridiplantae; Streptophyta; Magnoliopsida; Asterales; Asteraceae.
UCCGCCCCCAUUCUUCUUCUUCUCUCUCUUGCGAUUUUCCAUUUAGGGUUUCACGAGAUCUAUGGUAUCAGCAAGAUCUCACCAGAUCCAACAAUGGUGUGGUCUGUAAAAGUGGUCGAGACAAGAUAUACGCUUCAAGAUCAGUCGAUUCAACCCGAGGUUUCUCCGGGCGAAUCUAGGGUUUCUUUAUCAGUCGCUUCAAGAUCUACGCUUCCUCAGUGAUGAAUCUCUCUAGAUCCCACACCAGAUCGACUGAUUACCUGGUGGUUGUGCGUGGAAGAUGGUGGCGAUGACACAAAGAUCUACCGUUUGGUGGCCAGAUCUACCGUUUGAAGUUGAAGAAAUGGUAUUGAAAAUGGUGAGGGAUUAAUGAUGGGUUGUCUUAUAUGAGUUGUUUGAGGAAGAACUGAUCAGCCUACAGCCCUACACCAUCUUCAAAAUGUGAUUCAACAUCAACAUCAGAUGGUUUUUUGGCUCACAAUAAAGAGAUGAACUUUAUGUCUUCUAGAUUUUAAGUUCAGGGACUGAGUUCUGAAUUCAAAUAGUCUGUAGCGAGAUGAUGGUGACUGAUAGCGCCACGGUAACCCAUCUCCACUGCUCGCAGCUGCUUUUAUGUGAGUCGGACACAGGCGCUGCCUCCGUGUUUGAAAUCAUUGGGUCGGGUGUUUGAGUCGAACAGACUCGAUCUAGCUUUUACCGAGCUUAAGAUUGAGCUGCAACUUUCUUGAUAAGUCACGAAUGGUGAGGUGACGAUGGUGGCACGUGUGCAUAAAACAAAAGGAUGGUGUUUGAGAGAAUCGAUGGCAAGGCAGUGAGCUUAAAACGGUUACAUGCCAGGCAUUCUGAUAGUUAACAGUAGUUGGAGGACAGUCGGUUAGCAAUUGAUGGCGCCAACCCAUACACCAAAGAUCAGCUCUUCUAUUAAAUGUGACCCAUAACUAAAACUAAAGAGUUUAAAUACAUAUUUACAAAAUAAGUAAUAAUACUAUUGUUUAAAUACUAAUAACACUUUUGAUGCCAAUGAUUAUUUUCCAACCGCAGCCAAAACGCGUUAGUGGUACCCAUCAUCUGUUCUGCCCAUGAUAGAUGUGGGAUU